RNAcentral lists this ribosomal RNA (337 nucleotides) under uncultured Pseudomonadota bacterium. RNAcentral's name for it is "bacterial SSU rRNA". It matches the Rfam family "Bacterial small subunit ribosomal RNA", at positions 29 to 351 of the family's 1533-position model. Lineage: Bacteria; Pseudomonadati; Pseudomonadota. The record is from RNAcentral.
AACGAACGUUAGCGGCGCGCCUAACACAUGCAAGUCGAGCGAGAAAGGGCUUCGGCCCCGGUACAGCGGCGCACGGGUGAGUAACACGUAGGUAACCUACCCCCAGGUGGUGGAUAACCUUCCGAAAGGAGGGCUAAUACAGCAUGAGACCACGACUUCGAAAGAAGUUGAGGUCAAAGCCGGCCUCUUCACGAAAGCUGGCGCCAGGGGAUGGGUCUGCGGCCCAUCAGCUAGUUGGUAGGGUAAUGGCCUACCAAGGCGAAGACGGGUAGCUGGUCUGAGAGGAUGAUCAGCCACACUGGAACUGAGACACGGUCCAGACUCCUACGGGAGGCUG